GCCCCUGGGCCCCUGGGCCCCUGGGCCCCUGGGCUGAACUCCUAGAGCAGGUGCCGCAGGUUCGAAUCCUGCCGGGGGUA
RNAcentral lists this transfer RNA (80 nucleotides) under Streptomyces gibsoniae. Its description in RNAcentral is "Streptomyces sp. DSM 41699 tRNA-OTHER". The record is from RNAcentral. Lineage: Bacteria; Bacillati; Actinomycetota; Actinomycetes; Kitasatosporales; Streptomycetaceae.